ACGAACGCUGGCGGCGUGCUUAACACAUGCAAGUCGAGCGGUAAGGCCCUUUCGGGGGUACGACGAGCGGCGAACGGGUGAGUAACACGUGGGUGACCUGCCCUCAGCUCUGGGAUAAGCCUGGGAAACUGGGUCUAAUACUGGAUAUGACUCCACGGUGCAUGUCGUGGGGUGGAAAGCCUUGUGCGGCUGAGGAUGGGCCCGCGGCCUAUCAGCUUGUUGGUGGGGUGAUGGCCUACCAAGGCGACGACGGGUAGCCGGCCUGAGAGGGCGACCGGCCACACUGGGACUGAGACACGGCCCAGACUCCUACGGGAGGCAGCAGUGGGGAAUAUUGGACAAUGGGCGCAAGCCUGAUCCAGCCAUGCCGCGUGAGUGAUGAAGGCC
RNAcentral lists this ribosomal RNA (387 nucleotides) under uncultured bacterium. Its description in RNAcentral is "bacterial SSU rRNA". It matches the Rfam family "Bacterial small subunit ribosomal RNA", at positions 29 to 416 of the family's 1533-position model. The record is from RNAcentral.